Molecule: long non-coding RNA, 915 nt
Organism: Uranotaenia lowii
Lineage: Eukaryota; Metazoa; Arthropoda; Insecta; Diptera; Culicidae
Exons: 4
Source: RefSeq, a predicted model, not a curated record
GAGUGCUUCUUAUUCCAUCAAAUCUUUUGGACAGCGAAACCUCUGAAUAGUUUCCUACUCCUCUCUCAAUAUGCAAUCAUCUUGCAUUGACUCGAUAACAAAUAAUUAUUUGUCCGCAACUGAAUGUAAAAAUCACUUUUACAUUACUUAUUCAACACCGAAAGCAAAAACUUUUCGGCCAAAAAAAAACGUAACGCUCCAGCGACUACCGCCCAACCCUAACGAGCCGCACGCAUACAACGAACACUGAACCCAAAAUCACACUUAAAAUACACUUGACGUUUCACUUAAAAGUGGGAGUUCAGUGAAUUUCUUCAUUUCAAGUGGCUCAUGUAGAUUUCACUUACCCGUCACUUAUGUUUCAAGUGACCGAAUCAAUGUUCACUAACUCAUCACAUAAGUUUUAAGUGACUGUCACUUGAAAUUCCUCUGAAAAUCCACUUACUUCGCCGCUCACUUCAAUUUCAUUACAUUCUCACUUAAAAUUCACUUGACCCGUCACUUAAUUGUCAAAUUCACUUGACCGGUCACUUAAAAUUGAAAUGAAUGUACAGGUAGCGAAUGACAGCCAUGUUGUGAAGGAUUGUUUUUAUUAUGGAAACAUAACAGAAUUGUGUAUGAGCUGAGCCAGAAAAAAAUAUCCUGUGAGGCGGAUAAUACGUCGUAGUGCAACUAUUCAUCCGAAUGAGGGGCCAAAAUAUGAAUCGGCAGAAGUUGUAACUUCUACAGAGCAACUAUGAAUAAAUUGGCCAUGGUGGGAAAUCUUUGUUGGAUGUUUCGGAAAUGCUUCCCGAUGGUAUUUUUAUUCUGAAAUUUUCAAGAACAGUGCAAAUAAAAAAAAAAUCAACCUAAAUUUUGGGAAAAAAUCGAAAAAGUAGAUGAGUAUUUCACGCCAAAACUUUAAUUGGAACCCAU